RNAcentral lists this ribosomal RNA (253 nucleotides) under uncultured bacterium. RNAcentral describes it as "partial 16S ribosomal RNA". It matches the Rfam family "Bacterial small subunit ribosomal RNA", at positions 524 to 776 of the family's 1533-position model. The record is from RNAcentral.
UACGAAGGGGGCUAGCGUUGCUCGGAAUCACUGGGCGUAAAGGGUGCGUAGGCGGGUCUUUAAGUCCCGGGGGAAAUCCUGGAGCUCAACUCCAGAACUGCCUUUGAUACUGAGGAUCUUGAGUUCGGGAGAGGUGAGUGGAACUGCGAGUGUAGAGGUGAAAUUCGUAGAUAUUCGCAAGAACACCAGUGGCGAAGGCGGCUCACUGGCCCGAUACUGACGCUGAGGCACGAAAGCGUGGGGAGCAAACAGG